This 803-nucleotide unclassified non-coding RNA is filed under the name Hevea brasiliensis (rubber tree). The record is from RNAcentral. Lineage: Eukaryota; Viridiplantae; Streptophyta; Magnoliopsida; Malpighiales; Euphorbiaceae.
GGAAAGCUGGCGCUGGUGUGGUGAGUAGCUACAGGGAAGGAGAGUCAAGCGAAACAGGAGGGGAAUAUGCCGGUGGAAUAUUUUCCCUUGGUGUUGUCCACAACACUAUAUUAUUUUAUGAUAAUAAUUUGGUGGGAAUCGCUGCAUAUAAAUACCCAAUCUCCUCCUCUGCCAUGUUUUAAAUCACAAGCACUGCCUUUCAUUCCUUUCCUUCAAUUCUCUGCACUUUCUCUGAUCCAUUCUCUCCCAUUCCCUCUUUAGUUCUCAGUUUCUCCACUAGGACAGGAAGAUACAGGAGGAAAAGAAAAAGGAAAAAGCUUGUGAAUUGAGCUAGCAAGCUAGCUAUGGCUAAGGAAUUACAGGUUCUUAGUGCUCUUGAUGUAGCGAAAACACAAUGGUACCACUUCACUGCAAUUAUCAUUGCAGGAAUGGGCUUUUUCACAGACGCAUAUGACCUCUUUUGCAUAUCUCUUGUCACCAAACUGCUUGGCCGCAUAUACUACCAUGUUGAUGGUGCAGCGAAGCCUGGAACUUUGCCUCCUAAUGUAUCAGCUGCUGUUAAUGGUGUAGCAUUUUGUGGAACUCUUGCAGGGCAGCUCUUCUUUGGUUGGCUCGGUGACAAGAUGGGGCGGAAGAAAGUCUAUGGUAUGACACUUAUGCUCAUGGUGAUAUGCUCAGUCGCCUCAGGUCUUUCUUUUGGUCAUAAUGCUAAAGCUGUGAUGUCAACCCUUUGCUUCUUCCGGUUCUGGCUUGGAUUUGGCAUUGGUGGUGACUACCCGCUUUCUGCCACAAUCAUGUCUGAA